UCACCAGGACCAGAUCGAGGAUGCGGC
RNAcentral lists this non-coding RNA (27 nucleotides) under Homo sapiens (human). The record is from RNAcentral. Lineage: Eukaryota; Metazoa; Chordata; Mammalia; Primates; Hominidae.